RNAcentral lists this ribosomal RNA (497 nucleotides) under uncultured bacterium. RNAcentral describes it as "partial 16S ribosomal RNA". It matches the Rfam family "Bacterial small subunit ribosomal RNA", at positions 28 to 507 of the family's 1533-position model. The record is from RNAcentral.
GAUGAACGCUGGCGGCGUGCCUAAUACAUGCAAGUCGAGCGAACAGACGAGGAGCUUGCUCCUCUGACGUUAGCGGCGGACGGGUGAGUAAUACGUGGAUAACCUACCUAUAAGACUGGGAUAACUUCGGGAAACCGGAGCUAAUACCGGAUAAUAUAUUGAACCGCAUGGUUCAAUAGUGAAAGACGGUUUUGCUGUCACUUAUAGAUGGAUCCGCGCCGCAUUAGCUAGUUGGUAAGGUAACGGCUUACCAAGGCAACGAUGCGUAGCCGACCUGAGAGGGUGAUCGGCCACACUGGAACUGAGACACGGUCCAGAUUCCUACGGGAGGCAGCAGUAGGGAAUCUUCCGCAAUGGGCGAAAGCCUGACGGAGCAACGCCGCGUGAGUGAUGAAGGUCUUCGGAUCGUAGAACUCUGUUAUUAGGGAAGAACAAAUGUGUAAGUAACUAUGCACGUCUUGACGGUACCUAAUCAGAAAGCCACGGCUAACUACGUG